UAGUAACGGCGAGUGAAGUGGGAAGAGCUCAACUUUGUAAUCUGGCUGCUUCGCAGUCCGAGUUGUAGUCUAAAGAAGCAUGAUCCGCGCCGGACCUUGGGCAUGUCUGUUGGAAAGCAGUGUCAAAGAGGGUGAUAAUCCCGUACAUACCAAGGACGACCGUGUGCAUUGUGGUCUGCUCUCUAAGAGUCGAGUUGUUUGGGAAUGCAGCUCUAAUUGGGUGGUAAAUUCCAUCUAAAGCUAAAUAUCGACGAGAGACCGAUAGCGAACAAGUACAGUAAUGGAAAGAUGAAAAGUAGCCUGCAGAGGCAAUGAAACAAUACGUGAAACCGUUUGUAGGGAAGCGAUGGAACCUUUUCACGCUGCGAGGGUUCAGCCUUUCUUCGGAUUGGUGUAUUCCCUCGUUUUGCGGACCAGCAUCAGUUUGCUUGGCAGUAUAAGGGUGUUUGGAACGUGGCUCCCACGGGAGUGUUAUAGCCUUUCACUGGAUGCUGCCUCGCAGACUGAGGACUGCAGUGCGCCAUUAUGGCAUAGUCUU
This 538-nucleotide ribosomal RNA is filed under the name Sterigmatomyces elviae. RNAcentral's name for it is "LSU rRNA". It matches the Rfam family "Eukaryotic large subunit ribosomal RNA", at positions 81 to 529 of the family's 3401-position model. Lineage: Eukaryota; Fungi; Basidiomycota; Agaricostilbomycetes; Agaricostilbales; Agaricostilbaceae. The record is from RNAcentral.